This 427-nucleotide ribosomal RNA is filed under the name Rhodobacteraceae bacterium CC149. RNAcentral describes it as "partial 16S ribosomal RNA". Lineage: Bacteria; Pseudomonadati; Pseudomonadota; Alphaproteobacteria; Rhodobacterales; Paracoccaceae. The record is from RNAcentral.
ACAGGUACUGUCAUUAUCAUCCCUGGCGAAAGUGCUUUACGACCCUAAGGCCUUNNNNNNNNNCGGCAUGGCUAGAUCAGGCUUGCGCCCAUUGNNNAAGAUUCCCCACUGCUGCCUCCCGUAGGAGUCUGGGCCGUGUCUCAGUCCCAGUGUUGCUGAUCAUCCUCUAAAACCAGCUAAAGAUCGUAGACUUGGUAGGCCAUUACCCCACCAACUAUCUAAUCUUACGCGGGCUGAUCCUUCUCCGAUAAAUCUUUCCCCCGAAGGGCGUAUAUGGUAUUACUCUCAGUUUCCCGAGGCUAUUCCAUAGAGAAGGGUACAUUCCCACGCGUUACUAACCCGUCCGCCGCUCGCCCCGAAGGGUGCGCUCGACUUGCAUGUGUUAGGCCUGCCGCCAGCGUUCGUUCUGAGCCAGGAUCAAACUCUA